Molecule: ribosomal RNA, 117 nt
Organism: Danio rerio (zebrafish)
Lineage: Eukaryota; Metazoa; Chordata; Actinopteri; Cypriniformes; Danionidae
Source: Ensembl
UUUCACAGCCACAUCACCCUGCAGCCCAAGACUGGUCCCUCACUGAAGCUAAGCAGGCCUGUGCUUGGUCAGUACCUGGAUGGGAGACUACUUGGGAACACAAGGUUGCUGUUGGAA